RNAcentral lists this ribosomal RNA (698 nucleotides) under uncultured Bacteroidales bacterium. Its description in RNAcentral is "bacterial SSU rRNA". It matches the Rfam family "Bacterial small subunit ribosomal RNA", at positions 29 to 716 of the family's 1533-position model. The record is from RNAcentral. Lineage: Bacteria; Pseudomonadati; Bacteroidota; Bacteroidia; Bacteroidales.
AUGAACGCUAGCUACAGGCUUAACACAUGCAAGUCGAGGGGCAGCAUGGUCUUAGCUUGCUAAGGCCGAUGGCGACCGGCGCACGGGUGAGUAACACGUAUCCAACCUGCCGUCUACUCUUGGACAGCCUUCUGAAAGGAAGAUUAAUACAAGAUGGCAUCAUGAGUCCGCAUGUUCACAUGAUUAAAGGUAUUCCGGUAGACGAUGGGGAUGCGUUCCAUUAGAUAGUAGGCGGGGUAACGGCCCACCUAGUCUUCGAUGGAUAGGGGUUCUGAGAGGAAGGUCCCCCACAUUGGAACUGAGACACGGUCCAAACUCCUACGGGAGGCAGCAGUGAGGAAUAUUGGUCAAUGGGCGAGAGCCUGAACCAGCCAAGUAGCGUGAAGGAUGACUGCCCUAUGGGUUGUAAACUUCUUUUAUAAAGGAAUAAAGUCGGGUAUGGAUACCCGUUUGCAUGUACUUUAUGAAUAAGGAUCGGCUAACUCCGUGCCAGCAGCCGCGGUAAUACGGAGGAUCCGAGCGUUAUCCGGAUUUAUUGGGUUUAAAGGGAGUGUAGAUGGAUAUUUAAGUCAGUUGUGAAAGUUUGCGGCUCAACCGUAAAAUUGCAGUUGAUACUGGAUAUCUUGAGUGCAGUUGAGGCAGGCGGAAUUCGUGGUGUAGCGGUGAAAUGCUUAGAUAUCACGAAGAACUCCGAUUGC